Molecule: long non-coding RNA, 2019 nt
Filed under: Bemisia tabaci
Lineage: Eukaryota; Metazoa; Arthropoda; Insecta; Hemiptera; Aleyrodidae
Description: lncRNA ENSSSA3NGG003422
Source: RNAcentral
UGACUUUUUCCAAACUUCAUUUUUUCGAUUUAUUGCCGCUUAAAUCGGGCUAUCGGACCAUAGUGCGCCGCAUCCAGUUUGUCCGCAUCCAUUUUUGGAUUUUUGGCCAAACGUUGUACCGACCUACGUCACAGGGUAAACAAACCUCACGAAUCAAGAUGCAAACACCUCCUUCCUCUUAUUUUUCUCCAUGGUGUUGUUAUGGUUGUUAUCAGCUCAGAGUUAGUCAAAUCUCAGUCAGCCUUCUUGCCUUGGCCUAAUGCUACAGUGCAGUCAUAUGUUCGCAAUUACAUUACCAGUUCUCUUUUACUACUUAGUACUACAUUAUUAGUAUUUAUCAGUGCUUGCUUACGAAACAACGAUGUUACCGUAUCCCGGUAGAUUGAGCGUAUUUUGUUUCUGCACUUCUUCCUCCUUCGCAUUCAUCCUGUUUCUUCAGUUGAUUCCGAUUCAUAGUCGCUUCAAUGUGUAUGAAAAUAUACUUUGGGUCUUCCCUCUGUACUACCUCAUUUUGAACUUAGUGCUGAUGAUUUUUCUGAGAGGCUUUGCGCUUCAAAUUGCAAUCCGAGCUUCUUUCUUGGGCAUGAUAUUUGCAGCGGGCAUUUUUAUACAGCUCCUUGCUUCAUCAACUCUUCAACCAUUCGGAUGGUAAUGAAACAAUUAAUAGUUCAAGCCAGCAGUAGUGUAAAAUUUGGCUGCGGGUGAGGCACCCAAUUAGCACAGAUUGCAAUAAAUUGAACUUGCAUGAUACCUACAAUUAUUGCCACUGCAUCAGAAAGUCGUGUAUGUUGCCUGUUUACCAAUUGAAGGAACAUCACUUUUCAAAGUUUUUUGCAAUAAAUUGAAAUAAGUCACAAUUUCUCAUUGUAUCACAGCUUACUGUCUCUCUGACACAUGGAUUAGUCGUAUUUUGUUCGGAGGCAACAAUCGCAUUUUGUUCGAAGUUGUUUUGUGUUGUGAGGGCGGGGCUUAUUUUCGCGCGCAAAAUUUGGGAACCCCUACAGCAACAUUGUUGUACAACAACUUCAACGUGCUCAGAGGCAAGUCGUCUUUAUGUUGUUGCCCAAGACAACGCUGUUUUCUAACCUACAAAUGGAAUUUGCUUUCUCAUUGGUUGUUCAGAAUCACGCAAAAGAAACAAGAAAAAAAACAGAAACAAUUUGUUGUUUCGAACAAAAUAUGACUAUUACAUUUUGCAUUAAGGAACCACUAUCUAGUUGUGUUUUGUUCGAAACAACAAAGUGUUUCUGUUUUCUUUCUUGUUUCUUUUACGUGAUUCUGAGUAAUCAAUGAGAGGGCAAAUUCGAAUUUUAGGUUAGAUAACAGCGUUGUCUUGGGCAGCAACAUAAAAACGACUUGCUCUGAGCACGUUGCAGUUGAUGUACAACAAUGUUGCUUCAGUGGUUCCCAAGUUCUCCCCGCGAAAAUAAGCCCCCCCCCCCACAAUACAAAAGAACUUCAAAUGAAUGCAAUUGUUGCUUGUUUUCACAACAUGUUGCAAGCGUUGUCUUCGAACAAAAUACGACUUUUGCUUAGGGAAACCAAUGGCAUGUAUGUUGUUUCUAAAAUGAGCCAGCAAUAGUGGUUCCUUCUUGCAAAAUGUAAUCCACAUGUAACUCAUAUUGUUGUUGAUCGUUCAGAAUUGGCAUUUAGGUACUGACCUUUUGCAAUUUUGAGGUAAAGAAAUUUCAAUCUUAUUUCAGUAUUUGUAUUGUGCUAAUUGGACAGGGGAAGGAAAUACUAUAAACAUCUAAAAAUGAAGCAAUGCCCGGUGGUGCCCAACCCAGGUUCUUCAUACCCGCAACUAUUCACUUUGAAAAAGGGGGGGUCGUUUUUUUUGACCUUCCCCUAGGAUUUCUACUUUCUCCCAAGUAUUGACUCCCCGUCCAGAUAUGUUCCUCGAUUUGAUUCCCCCCCCCCCCCAAAAAAAAGAAUUCGGGUUUGUGACCUUCCCUUUCCAGGGAUUUACACUUCCGCUGACUUUUUCCCUAAUUAUGACCACUCCCACCGAAUUCUCGU